This 242-nucleotide ribosomal RNA is filed under the name uncultured bacterium. Its description in RNAcentral is "partial 16S ribosomal RNA". It matches the Rfam family "Bacterial small subunit ribosomal RNA", at positions 15 to 244 of the family's 1533-position model. The record is from RNAcentral.
GAUCAUGGCUCAGGAUGAACGCUAGCUACAGGCUUAACACAUGCAAGUCGAGGGGAAACGACAUCGAAAGCUUGCUUUUGAUGGGCGUCGACCGGCGCACGGGUGAGUAACGCGUAUCCAACCUGCCCACCACGUUGGGGAUAACCUUGCGAAAGUAAGACUAAUACCCAAUGAUAUCUCUAGAAGACAUCUGAAAGGGAUUAAAGAUUUAAUCGGUGAUGGAUGGGGAUGCGUCUGAUUAG